Molecule: long non-coding RNA, 160 nt
Organism: Mastomys coucha (southern multimammate mouse)
Lineage: Eukaryota; Metazoa; Chordata; Mammalia; Rodentia; Muridae
Exons: 3
Source: RefSeq, a predicted model, not a curated record
CAUGAGCAUCCUUAGCAGCUUCCAGGAAACCAGGAGCUUAGGAGCCAUCUGAAGCUUGGAGAGGUGACGUCUGAGGCCACCUGGCUCCUUAUCACCAGAGCCUGUUCUUUGGGAGAGUGUAUCCUUUGCAGUCACAACUCUUGGAGCCAUGUAGAGGUGG